This is a non-coding RNA of Acanthosepion pharaonis, 113 nucleotides long. NCBI's taxonomy places the organism in Eukaryota, Metazoa, Mollusca, Cephalopoda, Sepiida, Sepiidae. The record is from the annotation of a GenBank genome assembly.
UACAACUAUAUCGCCUUGAAACACCGGUUGUCGUUCGAUCACCGAAGUUAAGCAAGGUCGAGCCAGAUCAGUUCCUAGAUGGGUGAGAGCUUGGGUACUCCGAGUGCUGCAAU